UGAGGAAUAUUGGUCAAUGGGCGAGAGCCUGAACCAGCCAAGUAGCGUGCAGGAUGACGGCCCUAUGGGUUGUAAACUGCUUUUAUAUGGGAAUAAAGUGAGGGACGUGUCCCUUAUUGCAUGUACCAUACGAAUAAGGACCGGCUAAUUCCGUGCCAGCAGCCGCGGUAAUACGGAAGGUUCGGGCGUUAUCCGGAUUUAUUGGGUUUAAAGGGAGCGUAGGCCGUUUGGUAAGCGUGUUAUGAAAUGUAGGAGCUCAACUUCUAGAUUGCAGCGCGAACUGUCAGACUUGAGUGCGCACAACGUAUGCGGAAUUCAUGGUGUAGCGGUGAAAUGCUUAGAUAUCAUGAAGAACUCCGAUUGCGAAGGCAGCUUACGGGAGCGCAACUGACGCUGAAGCUCGAAGGUGCGGGUAUCGAACAGG
RNAcentral lists this ribosomal RNA (424 nucleotides) under Verrucomicrobiota bacterium. Its description in RNAcentral is "Verrucomicrobia bacterium partial 16S ribosomal RNA". It matches the Rfam family "Bacterial small subunit ribosomal RNA", at positions 355 to 776 of the family's 1533-position model. The record is from RNAcentral. Lineage: Bacteria; Pseudomonadati; Verrucomicrobiota.